Molecule: ribosomal RNA, 348 nt
Filed under: Pergagrapta latreillii
Lineage: Eukaryota; Metazoa; Arthropoda; Insecta; Hymenoptera; Pergidae
Description: partial 16S ribosomal RNA
Source: RNAcentral
AUAAUAAUUAGUCUUUUAAUUGAAGGCUGGUAUGAAGGAUUGAACGAGAUAAAUACUGUCUCAUUAAAAUUAUUAUUUAAUUUAAUUUUUAAGUUAAAAAGCUUAAAUAUUAUUAUAGGACGAGAAGACCCCAUAGAGUUUUAUAAUUUAUUUUUUAUUUUUUAUAAAUUUACAUUAAAUAAAAUUAAAUUAUUUUAUUGGGGCGAUAGGAAAAUUUAAUAAACUUUUUUAAUUUAAAAAACAAAUAUUUUUGGAAAUUUGAUCCUAAAUUUUAGAUUAUUAGAUUAAGUUACCUUGGGGAUAACAGCGUUAUUUUUUUUAUAAGUUCAUAUUAAUAGAAAAGAUUGC